CCCUUAGAUGUUCUGGGCCGCACGCGCGCUACACUGAUCGGUGCAACAAGCAUCCGUCCUUGGCCGACAGGCCCGGGCAAUCUUUGAACGCCGGUCGUGAUGGGGAUAGACCUUUGCAAUUUUUGGUCUUCAACGAGGAAUUCCUAGUAAACGCAAGUCAUCAACUUGCAUUGAUUACGUCCCUGCCCUUUGUACACACCGCCCGUCGCACCUACCGAUUGAAUGGUCCGGUGAAACCUCCGGAUUUGCGCGUGCCCUCGGGCGCCGCCGAGAAGUUGGUUAAACCUUACCAUUUAGAGGAAGGUGAAGUCGUAACA
Molecule: ribosomal RNA, 317 nt
Filed under: uncultured eukaryote
Lineage: Eukaryota
Description: partial 18S ribosomal RNA
Rfam family: Eukaryotic small subunit ribosomal RNA
Source: RNAcentral